Molecule: ribosomal RNA, 483 nt
Filed under: uncultured bacterium
Lineage: Bacteria
Description: bacterial SSU rRNA
Rfam family: Bacterial small subunit ribosomal RNA
Source: RNAcentral
AACUAACGCUGGCGGCGUGCCUAACACAUGCAAGUCGUACGAGAAAGCCGGCUUCGGCUGGUGAGUAAAGUGGCGCACGGGUGAGUAACGCGUGGAUAAUCUGCCCUUAAGUGUGGAAUAACGUACCGAAAGGUGCGCUAAUACCGCAUAAUGCCUGGCAACACAAGUUGUCCGGCCAAAGAAGGCCUCUGUUUACAAGCUUUCGCUUCAGGAUGAGUCCGCGUACCAUUAGCUUGUUGGUGGGGUAAUGGCCUACCAAGGCUGCGAUGGUUAGCUGGUCUGAGAGGAUGAUCAGCCACACUGGAACUGAGACACGGUCCAUACUCCUACGGGAGGCAGCAGUGAGGAAUAUUGCGCAAUGGGGGCAACCCUGACGCAGCAACGCCGCGUGAGUGAGGAAGGUUUUCGGACUGUAAAGCUCUGUCGAGCGGGAAGAAGUGUACCAUGGCUAAUAUCCAUGAUAUUUGACGGUACCGCUAGAGG